This 253-nucleotide ribosomal RNA is filed under the name uncultured bacterium. RNAcentral's name for it is "partial 16S ribosomal RNA". It matches the Rfam family "Bacterial small subunit ribosomal RNA", at positions 524 to 776 of the family's 1533-position model. The record is from RNAcentral.
UACAGAGGGGGCAAGCGUUGUUCGGAAUUACUGGGCGUAAAGGGCGCGUAGGCGGCCUGCUAAGUCGAACGUGAAAUCCCUGGGCUCAACCCAGGAACUGCGUCCGAUACUGGUUGGCUUGAAUCCGGGAGAGGGAUGUGGAAUUCCAGGUGUAGCGGUGAAAUGCGUAGAUAUCUGGAGGAACACCGGUGGCGAAGGCGACAUCCUAGACCGGUAUUGACGCUGAGGCGCGAAAGCUAGGGGAGCAAACGGG